GUAAUGUUGCGAUUGUGAGGAUUCGUUCGUCUGCUCCCGUUCGUCUUCUUCAUGGACUCGUUCUUCUUCCUAGCGGGAUUUCAGGCAAGAUGACCGCUACCCUGGAUCUCAAUACUAUCAUUGCUAUGCUAGUUGCUUCGUUCUAUCACUUUGCUGCGCUACCUAUCAUCUGUUUAUCAAGCCAUCCCAGAUUGCCAUGAACUUCUAACCUUUGACACCUUUCCUAUGCAAACCGUUGCUUGGCUAUGUUACCGCUUUUGCUCAGCCCCUCUUAUAGCGUUGCUAGUUGCAGGUGAAGUUGAAGAUUGCUCCAUGGUAGACAUGAUUUUGGUUGGGAUAUCACAAUAUCUCUUAUAUUAUCAAUGCAUCUAUACACUUGGUAAAGGGUGGAAGGCUCGGCCUUAUGCCUGGUGUUUUGUUCCACUCUUGCCGCCCUAGUUUCCGUCAUACCGGUGUUAUGUUCCCGGAUUUUGCGUUCCUUACGCGGUCGGGUGAUUUAUGGGACCCCCUUGACAGUUCGCUUUGAAUAAAACUCCUCCAGCAAGGCCCAACCAUGGUUUUACCAUUUGCCUCACCACCACCUAUAUUUCCCUUGGGAGUAAUUAACCCAAGGGUCAUCUUUAUUACAGCCCCCCCGGGCCAGUGCUUGUCUAAGUGUUGGUCCGAACUAGAGCCCUUUGCAGCGCCCCCUCAGGGAAACUUGAGGUCUGGUUUUAGUUGUACGGAUUGCUCAUCCAGUGUUGCCCUGAGAACGAGAUAUGUGCAACUCCUAUCGGGGUUGUCGGCGCAUCGGGCGGUCUUGCUGGUCUUGUUUUACCAUUGUCGAAAUGUCUUGUAAACUGGGAUUCCGAGUCUGAUCGGGUCUUCCUGGGAGAAGGUCUAUUCCUUCGUUGAUCGCGAGAGCUUGUCAUGGGCUAAGUUGGGACACCCCUGCAGGGUAUAAUCUUUCGAAAGCCGUGCCUGCGGUUAUAGGCAGAUGGGAAUUUGUUAAUGUCCGGUUGUAGAUGACUUGACAGCAGAUCCGAAUUAAAACGCAUCAACCGUGUGUGUAGCCGUGAUGGUCUCUUCUCGGCGGAGUCCGGGAAGUGAACACGAUUUCUGGGUUAUGUUUGACAUAAGUAGGUGUUCAGGAUCACCUCUUGAUCAUUGCUAGCUUCACGACCGUUCCUUUGCUUCUCUUCUCGCUCUUAUUUGCGUAUGUUAGCCACCAUAUAUGCUUAGUCGUUGCUGCAACCUCACCACUUUACCCCUUCCUUUCCCUUUAAGCUUUGCUAGUCUUGAUACCCAUGGUAAUGGGAUUGCUGAGUCCUCGUGGCUCACAGAUUACUACAACAACAGUUGCAGGUACAAGUUAUGUGAUGAUCAUGACACGAGAGCAAUGCUUGCUUGCGUUGAGUUCUUCUUCUGCUUCUUCGAUCAGGGGAUAGGUUCCAGGUCGGCAGCCUGGGCUAGCAGGGUGGAGGUCGUUUGAGUUUCUGUUUGUGAUUCAUCCGUAGACGGAUGAUGCUAUUAUGUAUUGUGAUGUUGUAUUCGUGUGGCAUUGUAUGCCUUAUGUAUGUAUCCCCAUCUAUUAUGUAAUGUUGAUAUAAUGAUAUCCACCUUGCAAAAGCGUUUCAAUAUGCGGGUCUAUCCUUGGUGGGACCUUCGAGUUCCUUUUGGAUAGGGUCGCAUAUUGGGCGUGACAAGUUGGUAAUCAGAGCCUCGACCGACCCUAGGAGCCCCCUUGUUUGUUGGCCGUUGUUGAGUCUAGAAGAAAACUAUUUUGAGUCUUAGGAUUAUAUAUAUCGGAGAGUAGGAUUCUUUUUACUCCUCAGCCCCCUUCAUCGCUCUGGUGAGGUCUCCUGACGUAGAUGUUUUGUCUUUGCUCUCCUCAAAUUUCACUAAAAAUUUUUAGGAUCACGCGGGUAUCUUAGAAUCGUUCCGAUGGUUUUGUGACGAGAACAUUGUUCUUGGUGCCUCCUGUCUAUUUAUGUGGCAUUGACCCGGGGAGUCGAGCUCUGAGGUGUUGUCGUCACAAUUUUAUCGUUGCAAUUUUGGAAUACCUGAGAUUUGCCGAUAUCAAAAAUCUCUUUUAUGCAGUUGUUGGUGAGAUAACCCUGAUAACCCAGUACUGGGGCGAGCUCAGGAGUAUUGCCAUAACUCGUAUAACGGAUGCUUUUCGAAGGUUGAGGUACACGAUUUCCGAUGGUUUCUUGGUUAUGUGUGGACGGAUGGAUACAGCUUGGAUGUAGGUAUUGUUAGUUUGGGUGAGAUAUAUUGCUUCCCCUGUAUCCCCAACACCAGAUUGCAUAACCAGAAAGUUUCGGGAGUUUAUAGGUGGGAAUUCAAGUAGCUCCUAGAAUAUCUUUCCAACAGAUGCAUGAUAUGGGAUUGGGUAAAUCUCUAUCAUAUGUAUUUGUUCCGGCUUAUUUCUGCAAGCCAAAUCCUUUGUUUUUGUUUUAUUUGUAGUAUUCGAGUUGCUUCAAUGUCAAGUGUUGAAUCCAUACCUUUCCUAAAUGGUGUUCUCAUAUUUUUAUGAGAGUGCUAAUCCUUCUUGAUCAUCGAGGUUGUCAUGUCAACUCUUUUCCAACCGGUGUGUUUCUCUUCAAGUGGAUCCGAUCAUUUCAACAUCCGCAAGAUCAAUUCUAAGUUUUCCCAACGGUGUUUGUUUCAUCCGUUCCCAAGUUGUCUUUGUUUUCCCGCCCUCCCACCCUUUUUCUGCAAGGACUCAUAUAUGUUAAUCAAGUAUCCAUUUAUUCAUGUGAAGUCUCUUCACUCUUUUCAAUCAAUGUUCUGAUCCGGUGAUCCCUCGUGAAGAUGCUCACGAGCUUCAAGUUCAUCAAUCUUCAUCCUCGUAUUCUUUUCCGGUGGAUUUAAUUCAAGCUUUCAGUGUUGAUCAUAUUCCUUUCCUCGUGUCAAAUGCUUUCUCAUGCCGGUGCACCUCUCAAUCACUCACCUUUUGCUAUUCAUGUGUUCCAGAGUGUUGAAGAUAUCUCAGAAGAUUUGUGUUUUCAUUCUCAAUCCGUUCAAGCUAUUUGGAGAUUGUUAUCUCAUUCAAGCCAUUUAAUUCAACCGGUGCAACCUCUCUUUAAAAUUGUUCAAAGAUGUUUCUUUCGAGUGGGCCCUAACCCAUAAGUCUUUUCCCAGGAUCUUACCUGACUCUUCUAAUUAUCCCGGAGCCAUUCUUAAAUUCUUUUCAAGUGUGACGUAAGAAUGAAUUAUCAUCAGUCAUAUGUCUUUCUCCAAGAUAUUUCAAAUUCUCUUCAUCGUUGGCUCAACCCCCUUCGCUUUUCAUUCUCCCGGAGUAUCUCAACAAUUCAUGGUGGUGUUUCUCCUCAUCUUUCUCAACAUUUGUAGACCGAAGAAGGAUUUCUCUUAAAUCUUGGUCCGUUCUCUUGAAGAUUCAUAGUUCUAGCUUAUGUCAUUCUCUCAUAAUUUUUUUCGAUUGUGAGAAUUCUUUUCAUCCAUCUGGAGCAAUUCAAGAGUCUUUUCAGAUUGAUUCUCCGUAGCCCAUCAUCUCAGAAUUAUUCAUUCAAGCUUUCAGCUCUCGUUCUCCAAAUCUAUCCGGUGCAUCAUUCAAGUAUCCUCUAAUCAGUUCAUGUUCUCUUCGUUGUCAUGUAUCUAAAUCCCCUCAAGUCUAUUCAUUCAUUUUCCAAUUCUUCCCAGUGAAUUGUGCCUUUGCUAAUCUCAUUUUCAAUUCUUACGGUGGUUCGUUCAAGAUUUCACUUCCUUUGUUAUCAUAUCAAUUCAUUCGUUGUUUCCAAUCCCACCGGUGGUUCCAUCAAGACCUUCUCGAGUUUGCGCUAUAUCCCUCUUAAUCCUUUCUACGAGAAUAAGUAGUAUGCCAAAUCCGUUGCUUGUCAUCAAUUAAAUUUGAAGAAGGAUAAGCAUACAAUAAAUCUUAUUCUUAUUUCCUCGAGGUGAUUCAAUUCUUUUCUUCUGAAGAUUGUUCAUGAUGAAGUAAUUCUCGGUUCUAGUGUUCAUAUUUUCUUUUACGGAGUUCCAUGUUUUCUCAGGUAUAUCAUCGCGAAGCUCCAUCUAAAUCAUUGCAAGGCUUCACCUUGUGUUUUCAACUUCUCUUUCUUUCUACCAUCCUUUCAUUAUCGGAGUUCUUCAUGGAGGCUCUACAUGAUGGUUUGUCAAGGAAUCUUUUCAUUCUUCAAUUGUUCUUCAAGAUUUCUCUUGAAGUUAUGAUCCGUCAAGCUAUACUCAAAAAUAAACAUGGUUCUCAACACAUGUCUUGUUUUGAGGAGUUCAAGUAUUCUUCAUCUUGCAUUGUGAAGUGCAAUUCGUUCUACCUUAUCAUCUUGAGGUGGUGUUAUGUCAGUCUUGACAAUUUGGGUUCGUGUUUCAUGAUUCACAUGUUGUCAAGAAUGAGGUAUUUUAAAUCCAUCAAUCCCUCCAUUGGAGUUAUCUUGUGUCAUAUUCCACCUAAAGCCUUCCAUUGGGAAUGUUGCUAUUUGUGGUGCUUAUCAUUGAUCCAAGCUUUCUCCAUAUCCUUCUCGGUGAAAGAGGUUUUUCAUCUCUUCGUUGAUCUCAAACAAGCAAUUGUUUUUCGUUAGUGGCAGAAUGUCAUCUCAUAGUCUUGCGAUGUUUCCAUAAGCCCACUACAAGCUUAUUCUUUUCGUUGUUGGUUUUCCAACAACCCCGUUGUAACCAUCUUGGAAGGGUGCUCAGUUGUGGCAGAAGUUGGCAUUUUCUUCUCCAUUCUGUUAUUCCAAUGAUCUAGCUUCUAUUCUUUCAUUCCGAAGGCAUUGUGAUGUUGUUCUCUUCACUCAUCAUCUUGUUUUGUCAAGAUCGUGUUCUUUUCCUUGCUUAUCCAUUUAACCAGAGUGUUGUGUCUAUCAUUCCUCAUUUAACCGGAGUCUCAUCCAAGUGCUUUCAUUUUGCCAAGUUCAUGUUAUAUUCCUUCCAUGUUCAACCGGAGUGCUGCCCGAAUUCUUCCUCUCUCAUCUUGUUGUAACCGGAGUGGUUUUGAACCCUAUCUUGUCCAUUAAACUCUUGAUUCAUGUCUUUGCAACCUUCAAGUUAUCGUAAUGUUCCUUGUUCCUCUUUUCUAACAGAUUGUUUGCAAUCUCGUUCAUCUCUGUUGUACUAUUUCUUUUAUAUUGCUCAACCUCUCAAGGUUCAUGGUUUCACUCAUUUGUCGAAGAAGCAACUUAGUUUUACCGCUUAUCUUCCUCUUCCUUUUCCGUCCGGUGCCAUCCUAGAUCUCGGGACGAGAUCCUCUCAUAGUGGUGUAGUGUUGUAACGCCCCGGAUACAACUUUCCAUAUUCGUAACUCCGACUCUUGCCUUUUCCGGAGAUGUGAUUUAUUAUUUCCUCCGUGGUUGGGUUUUUGUCUGUUGUUUUGCAUUUUGUUCUUGUUAUGCAUCUCAUCUCAUAGCAUCAUGCGCAUUGCAUCGGCAUCGUUUUCAUAAAACUUGCAUCCGUUUGGGUUUCCCCGAUUCUCUCCGUUGUCCGUUCUGAGCCCGACCACACUCGCACGCGCCCGCGGCACCUCCGAAUAUUAUUUUAUAAGUGGCAUAAAAAUGUUCUCGGAAUGGGUUGCAACUUGUCGUGCGGUCUUAUUAUAGUGUAGACAGGCCGCCUGCCAAGUUUCGUCGCGUUUGGAGUUCGUUUGACUGCCCAACCGUUAGAUAUGUAACCGCGAUAUAGUCGGUUUAUUCGUCGGACGUUUCGGUCUCCGAAACUGCCACAGGGCCGCACCUCUUCUCUCUCCUCUCAGCCCAAGGCCUUCUAACCACAGCCCACCUGCAGCCACCUAGUCCCCCUCUCUGUCCGGAGCGCACGAUCGCGAUCCGAGGGUCCGAAAAGCCCCCAAAACCCCCAACCCUAGCCUCUUUUGCUAUAUAAAGACCCCCUCUCCAUUUUUGGACAACCUACCCCUUCCCUAACCCCAGCCGCAGCAAUCCCCCAUCCUCCUCGGGAUCUCCGCCGCCUCCCACCUCCAUUUCCGCGCCACCCGCUCCAGCUCCGCCACUUGUCGCCGCCGCUGCCACGCGCCACGGCGAACCCCAGUGCGCCACCUGUCCCCGAGUGCCGCCUCCAGCCAACCCCCAUGUGCCACGUCGCCCUGGCCUCCUUCCACCUCCCCGCGGCCCUCCCGGCCCGCACCAGGCCCACCCUGGGCCGAAUCGGGCCCGAGCCGCCGCCGCCGCUCCCGCAGGAGUCUGCUCGUGCGCCGUCCUCGUGCGCUCCCGAUCUGGAUCGAGGGGAGGAGCCCCUCGACCCCGAUUUCUCUCCCCUCACCGGACCCAGCCUACCGCCGGCGAGCCCCGUCGCCGGAGCCCCACCGGACCCCGCCUCCUCCGUCGCCCAGAUCGUACCGCACAUCGCCCUAUUCCUCCUUCUUCCCUCCUCUCCUUCCUCACAGCUCUCUCUCUCCCUCCUUGCCGUGAACAGGAGCGCCGCUGUCGCCAGGAACCGUCUUGACCCGACGAGCCGCUGCCGGAUCCGUCCUCUGCUCCCUCCCCCGCGUCCAUUCCCGACCUCCACGCCCGUCGCCGUCGCCGAGAGAACCUCCUGCUGCCGGUCUUCUUCUGCGUUGGAGGGUGAACGAGGCAGCGCUCGCUGCCGUUGACCGCGCCGCCGCCGUGCUAGUCAGCUGCGUGGGCUGCCAGCCGCACCAAGCCCCAGCCCACCAGAUCUGCCGGCCUGCCAGGCCUCUCCUCCAGCCGGGCCUCAGCCCAUGGGUGAGCUGCCCCAGCGCCUCCUUUUUUUCCUUCUGCUGGGCCUGUUCCAGUGGUUUCGGCCCGCGUAGGUUUUUUUUAGCAUCUGUGAAUUUGUCUAAUUAUCCAGCGAUUUACAGUUUUACAGAAAACCCCCUAGACUUCAUGCAUAUAAUAUCUCACAAACCGUGCAUCGGAUUAAAAUGUUUUAUAUAUGUAAAAUGCUCAGAAAAUUGUGUAGAUUAAUAAUAUGUCAUUUUCAUCCCAUGUUAAAAUGUUUAACAUGCUGUUUGUGUUUCUUUUGCAUAAUGCCAUGCUAAAAUGCUUUAAUUCAUAACUAAAUAACCGUAGCUCCAAAUUUAAUAAACUUUAUAUGUAAAUGGGAUGUAAAAAUGCCUAGUUUAACAUGGUCCACUUUAUUUUCCUGUUUAACAAACACAAAAUUGUGUUUAGGGCAGAACAGUACCGAAUCUAAAAUAUGCAUAUGGGGAUUUUCCGGAAUUGUUGUUUGUUGUUUCCGGCCUCAUUUAAACUUGCCUAGAUAGGUAGUUUUCAUAUGUUUCACCUCUUGCCAUGUUUAACAAUAUUUAAUAUUAUUGGGUACAUAACCGAGAUCAAACUAAAUAUGUCCAUGUGGUGUUUUGUCAAUAUGCAACUCGUUGCAUAUUGAGCUCCACUUAAUUUGUAGUAUUGUGUGUUGCAGUUUGCCAUGCCAUGCCUCUUUAAACCGGACAUGCAUCAUACUUGAUUGUGCAUCUUGCCAUGACUAUGCGUGUGUGUUUACCAUGUUGUUUGUUUCUUUCCGGUGUUGCUUCUUAGUUCCGGUAAUGUUGCGAUUGUGAGGAUUCGUUCGUCUGCUCCCGUUCGUCUUCUUCAUGGACUCGUUCUUCUUCCUAGCGGGAUUUCAGGCAAGAUGACCGCUACCCUGGAUCUCAAUACUAUCAUUGCUAUGCUUGUUGCUUCGUUCUAUCACUUUGCUGUGCUACCUAUCAUCUGUUUAUCGAGCCAUCCCAGAUUGCCAUGAACCUCUAACCUUUGACACCUUUCCUAUGCAAACCGUUGCUUGGCAAUGUUACCGCUUUUGCUCAGCCCCUCUUAUAGCGUUGCUAGUUGCAGGUGAAGUUGAAGAUUGCUCCAUGGUAGACAGGAUUUUGGUUGGGAUAUCACAAUAUCUCUUAUAUUAUCAAUGCAUCUAUACACUUGGUAAAGGGUGGAAGGCUCGGCCUUAUGCCUGGUGUUUUGUUCCACUCUUGCUGCCCUAGUUUCCGUCAUACCGGUGUUAUGUUCCCGGAUUUUGCGUUCCUUACGCGGUCGGGUGAUUUAUGGGACCCCCUUGACAGUUCGCUUUGAAUAAAACUCCUCCAGCAAGGCCCAACCUUGGUUUUACCAUUUGCCUCACCACCACCUAUAUUUCCCUUGGGAGUAAUUAACCCAAGGGUCAUCUUUAUUACAGCCCCCCCGGGCCAGUGCUUGUCUAAGUGUUGGUCCGAACUAGAGCCCUUUGCAGCGCCCCCUCAGGGAAACUUGAGGUCUGGUUUUAGUUGUACGGAUUGCUCAUCCGGUGUUGCCCUGAGAACGAGAUAUGUGCAGCUCCUAUCGAGAUUGUCGCUGCAUCGGGCGGUCUUGCUGGUCUUGUUUUACCAUUGUCAAAAUGUCUUGUAAACCGGGAUUCCGAGUCUGAUCGGGUCUUCCUGGGAGAAGGUCUAUUCCUUCGUUGAUCGCGAGAGCUUGUCAUGGGCUAAGUUGGGACACCCCUGCAGGGUAUAAUCUUUCGAAAGUCGUGCCUGUGGUUAUAGGCAGAUGAGAAUUUGUUAAUGUCCGGUUGUAGAUGACUUGACACCAGAUCCGAAUUAAAACGCAUCAACCGUGUGUGUAGCCGUGAUGGUCUCUUCUCGGCGGAGUCCGGGAAGUGAACACGGUUUCUCGGUUAUGUUUGACGUAAGUAGGUGUUCAGGAUCACCUCUUGAUCAUUGCUAGCUUCAUGACCGUUCCUUUGCUUCUCUUCUCGCUCUUAUUUGCGUAUGUUAGCCACCAUAUAUGCUUAGUCGCUGCUGCAACCUCACCACUUUACCCCUUCCUUUCCCUUUAAGCUUUGCUAGUCUUGAUACCCAUGGUAAUGGGAUUGCUGAGUCCUCGUGGCUCACAGAUUACUACAACAAUAGUUGCAGGUACAAGUUAUGCGAUGAUCAUGACGCGAGAGCGAUGCUUGCUUGCGUUGAGUUCUUCUUCUACUUCUUCGAUCAGGGGAUAGGUUCCAGGUCGGCAGCUUGGGCUAGCAGGGUGGAGGUCGUUUGAGUUUCUGUUUGUGAUUCAUCCGUAGAUGGAUGAUGCUAUUAUGUAUUGUGAUGCUAUUAUGUAUUGUGAUGUUGUAUUCGUGUGGCAUUGUAUGCCUUAUGUAUGUAUCCCCAUCUAUUAUGUAAUGUUGAUGUAAUGAUAUCCACCUUGCAAAAGCGUUUCAAUAUGCGGGUCUGUCCUUGGUGGGACCUUCGAGUUCCUUUUGGAUAGGGUCGCAUAUUGGGCGUGACACAGGGAACCAGGCGAUGAUGUGGUCAUGAGGCCAGCACAGAUAACAAGGUUGGACUGGAGGAUACGGGGGCAGGACGACGUACCGCCAACUUUGAGCAGCUACAGCGAUGCGGAUCCAUCGCGGUGGUGGUGGAGGUAGCCGUCGCGGCUAGCGAGCUCGGGGUUCUCUCGCCGGAGGGAUGCUAUACGAGUUGAGAUGCUUGGUCGGGUAGGCGAGAUUGACUCAAACCAUCGCACGAGAUUUGGUGGGGUGGUUGGGAUGGGAUGCGAGAUUUACCCAGAUUCUAUUAAUUCACGGGGAUUAGAUCUAACGAAAUUAAUUCACGGGAUCUGGUGGAGAAUCGGUACAAAAAGACAGCCGUAGGAUUAAGGAAGCAUCUACGUCACAGGAGAGGUCUGGCGAAAGCUUCCUAUCAGACGUGUCAUAGAAAGUGUUUGCCUAGAUUUAAUAGUGACGUUAUUGCAUGGGCAAAUUUGACCCCCAAACACAUGCAUGUAGAUUAUAUAGCACACAAUUAAUUCAAUGCAAACCAAAAUAAACCGCAAUUAAACACAAGCCAAGAUAAAAUUUACCAAUUCAUACACAACCAUACAUAAUGAAUCAA
Molecule: long non-coding RNA, 9781 nt
Filed under: Triticum aestivum (bread wheat)
Lineage: Eukaryota; Viridiplantae; Streptophyta; Magnoliopsida; Poales; Poaceae
Description: long non-coding RNA (TAES_LNC003179)
Source: RNAcentral